Molecule: ribosomal RNA, 517 nt
Filed under: Liolophura japonica
Lineage: Eukaryota; Metazoa; Mollusca; Polyplacophora; Chitonida; Chitonidae
Description: partial 16S ribosomal RNA
Rfam family: Bacterial large subunit ribosomal RNA
Source: RNAcentral
AUCGCUCUUUGUAAAUAUAAAAUAAGGAGUCGUACCUGCCCGGUGAAAAAUUUAACGGCCGCAGUACCCUGACUGUGCAAAGGUAGCAUAAUCAUUUGCCUUUUAAUUGAAGGCUGGAAUGAAUGGUUUGACGAAAUUCUUCUGUCUCUAUCUUAUUAAAUAGAAUUUAAUUUUUAGGUGAAGAAGCCUGAAUGAAGUCAAAAGACGAAAAGACCCUGUCGAACUUUAGAGUAAUUAUGAAAUUAUAUGCUUUUUAGAAUAAAUGUUUUUUAGAAUUUCUCUUUUGUUGGGGUGGCAGAAGAACAGAUAAAGCUUCUUUUAGUUGAGGAAACUUAUAUGUUGAAAAGAUCCAUAAAAAUUUAUGAUAGUAAGAUAAGUUACCGCAGGGAUAACAGCGUUAUUUUUCUGGAGAGUUCAAAUUGAAGGAAAAGAUUGCGACCUCGAUGUUGGAUUGGAAUACCUAAUAGGCGGAGAAGCUUGUUGUUGGGGGUCUGUUCGACCUUUAAAUUUCCACAUG